UAGUCCACGCCGUAAACGAUGGAUACUAGCCGUUCGGUAGCAAUACUGAGUGGCUAAGCGAAAGUGAUAAGUAUCCCACCUGGGGAGUACGUUCGCAGGAAUGAAACUCAAAGGAAUUGACGGGGGCCCGCACAAGCGGUGGAGCAUGUGGUUUAAUUCGAUGAUACGCGAGGAACCUUACCAGGGCUUAAAUGUAGUAUGACAGGGGUGGAAACACCUUUUCCUUCGGGCAUAUUACAAGGUGCUGCAUGGUUGUCGUCAGCUCGUGCCGUGAGGUGUCAGGUUAAGUCCUAUAACGAGCGCAACCCCUGUUGUUAGUUGCCAGCGAGUCAUGUCGGGAACUCUAACAAGACUGCCGGUGCAAACCGUGAGGAAGGUGGGGAUGACGUCAAAUCAUCACGGCCCUUACGUCCUGGGGCUACACACGUGCUACAAUGGGUAGGUACAGGAGAGCAGCCACUGCGUGAGCAGGG
This 473-nucleotide ribosomal RNA is filed under the name uncultured bacterium. Its description in RNAcentral is "bacterial SSU rRNA". It matches the Rfam family "Bacterial small subunit ribosomal RNA", at positions 791 to 1266 of the family's 1533-position model. The record is from RNAcentral.